This 3266-nucleotide unclassified non-coding RNA is filed under the name Hevea brasiliensis (rubber tree). The record is from RNAcentral. Lineage: Eukaryota; Viridiplantae; Streptophyta; Magnoliopsida; Malpighiales; Euphorbiaceae.
AAGCAACAUUUUUUUCGUCUCCUCACAAGUUAUUCUUCCACAACCUCUACCACAAAGCUAUUAAAGGGUAUUAAUUGUAAUUACACCUCCAACCUUACAAGCUUGAUCACCCAAAAUAACUCUGGCUUUCCCAUAUAUUAUUAAUUUCUUGAAGGAAAAUAUUCCAAUCCAAUCUCUCAUGGCGUUUCCACCUACUAAAAUCAAGAUUCUUCCUCCUCUCUUUGCGACCAUAAUCAUCUGUUUCUGCUUUGUUUCGUCAUUGGCAGAGAUUCCACAUUUCCAGCAGCCAUUAAAAUCUGAUGGUUCUCUGAGCUUCUUAGUGGUUGGAGACUGGGGAAGAAGAGGACUUUACAACCAAUCCCAAGUUGCUCAACAGAUGGGAUUAAUUGGAGAGGAACUGAAAAUAGAUUUUGUGAUCUCUACGGGUGAUAAUUUUUAUGAAGAUGGUUUGACAGGAGUGGAUGAUCCAGCAUUUUUUGAGUCGUUUACUAAUAUCUACACUGCCCCAAGCUUGCAAAAGCAGUGGUACUGCGUUCUGGGAAACCAUGAUUACAGGGGUGAUGCUGAAGCACAGUUGAAUCCCAUUCUUACAAAAAAGGAUAGUAGAUGGCUUUGCCUGAGGUCAUUUAUAGUCAAUGCAGAAAUUGUUGAGUUUUUCUUCGUGGACACAACUCCAUUUGUGAAUGAGUACUUCAUAAACCCAGGGGAUCAUACCUAUGACUGGAAAGGUGUAUCUCCUAGGGAGAAUUACCUUGCAAAUCUGUUGAAGGUAAUGCUUCUAAAUUCAUACUUGACCUGUUUGAUAUUCUUCUAUCCAAAUGAAAAAGUUGAAAAUGAAUUCUGUGUUUAUUUAUUCCAAACAAAUUGUAAAAGCUCUUCUGAAAAAUUUUAAGGGUUGAUUUUCAAAUUAGUAGCCAAGAUAUUCAAAUGACAAAUUUGAAGAACAACUAAUUCAAUAUGAAACUAGGAAAGGAAUGAUGCUUUGAUUUCAACUUUGCAAUAGGAUGUGGAUUCAGCGCUGGGAAGUUCUACUGCAAAAUGGAAAAUUGUUGUUGGUCACCAUGCCAUCUUAAGUGCAGGACACCAUGGAAUCACAGACGAGCUUCUAAAGCAGCUUGUUCCAAUUCUACAGAAACAUAAUGUUGAUGCUUACAUAAAUGGGCAUGAUCACUGCAUGGAACACAUCAGCAGCAGCCACAGCAAAAUUCAAUUCCUAACAAGUGGAGGUGGCUCAAAAGCUUGGAGAGGAGAUAUAAGGAAGUGGAAUCCAGAGGAAUUGAAGUUAUAUUAUGAUGGCCAAGGUUUUAUGUCAGGACAAAUGACUGACACCAAGGCCGUUUUUGUAUUCUAUGAUAUAUUUGGCAAUGUUUUACAUCAAUGGAGCAUAUCCAAAGUGAGUCACUCAGCUGCAUAAAGAUACGAGAACCAAGAAUUGCUAGGAGUAUGUCAUCACUAUUUAUAAGUAAAAAUGCAGGACAAAUUGCAAAAUAAAAAUGAGAAUUUGUAAUAAAGUACCAAAAAUAGGAGAAUCUAUGUUUAAAUUUAGAGGCUUCCAUACCGGUGUACAAAUGUAAGUAUUGAUAUUAGCUGCUAAAAUUAGGUUUGUUUGAUUAACUUCAAUGAAUUUACCUUAUCUUUCUGCUGAAUCAUUACAUCAUUUUCCAGAGGAUGAACUGUUCUAUGAUUUCCAUGCAUUCCUUUUCGAGCACAAGGAGAGAUUUAAUCAUGGGAUUGCUUUGAUUUUCCAUCAAAAUGCACAGCAAUGUUACUCAUUUUAAGGUUUCCCCAAAAUCAACAUAAAUAAUGUGAUGGUAUGCUGUUUGGAUUAGCAUCAGCAUUAGAAAAUCCAAAUUAGAGCAGAUCUAUAUUCAUAUAAAAAAAUUUAAAGCGCAAGGGGAAGGAAAUUGACAAACAACAAAAUUGGCCAAUGCUGCAGUUCAAGUGGCUAACUUUAUAAAUCACUUAAAAUCCCUUGUCAAGAACCUUUAAAUGGAACACUGUAUAUAAUUCGCUCUGUUCUCCAGUAUGGCAAGCUCAGUAGUAACUCUUCAUGUAAUUUAUGAGUAUAAUCUUCCCAUGCACUAAUUGCAGCAGAAAAUUUUGCCCAAUCAAAGGAAUCUUGACAUUUCUGGCGGUUACUGACACAGCUGAACACCAUCUCCACCAGCUGAUGGUCCCUUAAAACGAAAGAUUUCAAGGCAAUAAUAUUUUCCUUUUGUGAUUGUGAUAAUUGUAUUACCUUGCAAGUUUCAAAGCAAGAAAUAAGCAAUUCCGAGGCUUUCCAACAAUAGAAUUGUACCACCUGAAGUAAGUGCAGAAUAUUGGCAAAUUCAUGUUCAAAUAACUCAUCUGCCCGUGCUAGUUUAACUGGCUCCAUGAGUAUCAUGAUAUCUGAAAAGAAGCUCUUUUCUUGAGAAGAAUAAAUGUCAAACCCAAGCAGAUGUAUUCUUGCACAGCAAAUAUUGAAUCCUGACUGUUGAUUAGACACUGGUUCUGGUGAAAACCAGUACAUAUUACUGGAAGCUAGCAUAGGGAGCUUCGACCCAGGCACAUUAUUUGAACUACAUAACAAGUUUUCUGAUAGAAGGGAAAUGAGUUUAGCAUCCUCAUCAUGGGUACUAUCACGGCUAAACCAUAAUGUAAGGGUAAGCCUUUCUCCUUCGGUUAUCUCAUCAACUGAAUGAACAUUGCUGAUGUCAGCUGUAUAUAUUGCAACAUCUCCAGCCUUGGGAACAAGAGUAGUUGGCUCCCCAUCCUGGAAGUGAAAGAGUCCACCUUUGAAAUCCUUUGCAUAAGUAUUCAAAUAACAGACGUGAAGUCCCUUUGUUUGAGAUAAGGCCUGUUAUCAUCACUAUGCCAUCCAAUGCUUGCUCCUUUACUCCAGCUAAUCAAACCAGUGAAUUCCACGAAGAGCUCAUACUCACAGCCAAAGAACUCCUCUACCUUCUCUUUCAACCUCUCACGGAUGGGAACAAAAGGGAUGAUAAAGUGGGGACAAUUGGUAGCGAUGAGAUGAGAGAGGGUGGUGGAGAAGACGUUGGGCCUAUACCCCACAGUGCUGCUACUCUUGUGAAUGAAUUCCAAUUCCUUGCAUUCAUUGAGAGUAAGGAAAUCACGAAGGAUGAGACGCAGGUGCUUCGCGUCCUCCAUAUUUUUGAUGCCUCAAUCAGUCAAUCUACUAGAUUUUUUUUGAACUGCAAACUAAGCGCAUUUACAAGGCCCCUUGGGCAUCUCAAGCUACCAGUUAACAUCACAGGUUUCGGGCG